CUUGAAGUCCAUCUCUUUCAGGAACAUUCUAUCUCCUAAAGACAGUUUCAUCUAAUUUACUAUACAAUACAUUUUUUAAAAGACUCAUUCAAGAACAUCCUUGCCUCAACACCCUCUUUUAACAAUGACCCUGCGGGGAGAAAUUGUGGUGGCUUUCCUCCAGAAUGUCUUGGCAGACCCUAGCUAUACACUGUUACUUGACUGAGGAUUUGGCAUAUGAGUGAAGAGGUAAGUGUUAGAAUCCCAGCGCUCUGCGCCCUCCCUCUUUCUCACCCUAACUGCUCGGCCAUGCUAGGCCUGAGAUUCUGGAAAUGCUUCCUGUAUGAUAACCGAGGCGACAUCUGGGCCAAAUGGAAGGAA
Jaculus jaculus (lesser Egyptian jerboa) is the source of this 360-nucleotide long non-coding RNA. RefSeq lists it as uncharacterized. The transcript is spliced from 3 exons. The record is from RefSeq and is a predicted model, not a curated record. NCBI's taxonomy places the organism in Eukaryota, Metazoa, Chordata, Mammalia, Rodentia, Dipodidae.